Molecule: ribosomal RNA, 356 nt
Filed under: Epactoides viridicollis
Lineage: Eukaryota; Metazoa; Arthropoda; Insecta; Coleoptera; Scarabaeidae
Description: partial 16S ribosomal RNA
Source: RNAcentral
ACCUGCCCUAUGAGUUAUUAAAUGGCUGCAGUAUUUUGACUGUGCAAAGGUAGCAUAAUAAUUAGUUUUUUAAUUGGGAACUGGAAUGAAUGGUUGGACGAGAAAAAUACUGUCUCAAUUUAAAUUUAAUUAGAAUUUUAUUUUUAAGUUAAAAAGCUUAAAUAUUUUUAAAAGACGAGAAGACCCUAUAGAGUUUUAUAUAAAAUUUUAAUAUUUAAAAAUAAAAGUAUAGUAUUUUAAUUAUUAUUUUUUAUAUUUAGUUGGGGUGAUUGGAAAAUUGAAUAAACUUUUUUUAUAUUUAAAACAUAAAUUUAUGAAUAAUUGAUCCAUUAAUUAAUGAUUAUAAGAUUAAAUUA